AACUCCAAGAGUGUAUCUUAAUGUUGCUGCAGUUAAAAAGCUCGUAGUUGAACUUCUGGCUGUUGAUGAAACUCAUGUGGAUUCGACAGUCAUCCGCUCGGAGAAGCAGUAUUUCCGUCAAAAGUUUUACUGUCGACCCAGCAUUUUACUUUGAAGAAAUUAGAGUGUUCCUGGCAGGCUUAGCUUGCAUAUAUUAGCAUGGAAUAAUGGAAUAGGACCUUUUCUGUUUUAUUGGUUGACAGAUAGGUAAUGAUUAACAGGGACAGUCGGGGGCAUUCGUACUCAGUGGCUAGAGGUGAAAUUCUUAGAUUCGCUGAAGACGAACUAAUGCGAAAGCAUUUGCCAAGGAUGUUUUCA
This 357-nucleotide ribosomal RNA is filed under the name uncultured eukaryote. Its description in RNAcentral is "SSU rRNA". It matches the Rfam family "Eukaryotic small subunit ribosomal RNA", at positions 587 to 972 of the family's 1831-position model. The record is from RNAcentral.